Molecule: long non-coding RNA, 4821 nt
Filed under: Sus scrofa (pig)
Lineage: Eukaryota; Metazoa; Chordata; Mammalia; Artiodactyla; Suidae
Description: lncRNA (ENSSSCG00000058767.1)
Source: RNAcentral
UCUUUUUGCCAUUUCUUGGGCCGCUCCCGUGGCAUAUGGAGGUUCCCAGGCUAGGGGUCGAAUCAGAGCUGUAGCCACCGGCCUACUCCACAGCCACAGUCACAGCCACAGCCACGCGGGAUCCAAGCCGCGUCUGCAACCUAUACCACAGCUCACGGCAAUGCCGGAUCCUUAAUCCACUGACCAAGGCCAGGGAUCAAACCCGAAACCUCAUUGUUCCUAGUCGGAUUCGUUAACAACUGAGCCACGACGGGAACUCCAAAAUCAUCUUAUUUUUUAAAGAGACUUUAAAAAACUUCUUUCAUACUUAAUUUUUUAGAGAACCAUCCUAUUUCCAAAGGUCAGCAUCCUAUAAAAAUAUUUCCAAAUUGCCCUCUGUCCAGCUAGAGCACUCCUGUGUUUUGGGCCCACAGAUGAUCUGUUCCCAACCUCUCAACCAGAGGAAGUAACGUUCUAUUGAGGGGAGCAAGCCAAGUAAACAGGAGUCACUAUAUAGGCAAUAGGGUGGUGACAGAGGUGAGUUCAGGGUGAGUCAGAGGCUGAGAACGGGCGGCUACCUCAGCUGAUAGGUGGGAAGCCAGGAAGGCUUCCUGAAGAAGGUGACAACAGAGCUGAUCCUGGAGGCCUGAAUGAGAACAGGUUCCAGACAUAAAAAUGAUGGCAGCAACUUUUUUUUCCUUGUUUCUUUCUAGGUUUGGGACACUGCUAUUAACAACCUGACAAACAGUGGGCACAUGUGAUGCCCUUAUCUCUCUCUUUUUUUUUUUUUUUUUGUCUUUUGUCUUUUUAGGGCUGCACCCACGGUGUAUGGAGGUUCCCAGGCUAGGGGUCUAAUCAGAGCUGUAGCUGCCAGCCUACGCCAGGGCCACUGCAACACCAGAUCCAAACCGCAUCUGCAACCUACACCACAGCUCACAGCAACACCGGAUCCUUAACCCACUGAACAAGGCCAGAGAUCAAACUUGCAACCUCAUCCUAAUUAGAUUCAUUUCCACUGCACCAGGAUGGGAACUCCUGUGUGUGUGUGUGUGUGUGUGUGUGUGUGUGUGUGUGUGUGUUUGCGUGCGCAUGCGCGCGCGCACGCUUUUUAGGGCUGCACCUGUGGCUUAUGGAAGUUCUCAGGCUAGGGGUUUAAUCAGAGCUGUAGCUGCUGGCCUAUACCACAGCCACAGCCAGGCCAGAUCUGAGCCACAUCUACGACCUACACCAUAGCUCACGGCAAUACCGGAUCCUUAACACAUUGAGCAAGGCCAGGGAUCAAACCUGCAACCUCAUGGUUCCUAGUUGGAUUUGUUUCUGCUGCACCACAGUGGGAACUCCAAUGCCUUUAUCUUAUUUAAUGAGCACAAGAACCCUAUGAAUCAGGUACCACUGUUAUCCUCAUUUGCCAAAAGUAGAGAAUGAGGCACAGAAAAUGUGCAUAACUUGUCCAAGGGCACAGAAUCAAUCUGUGCCAUGGAACCCACCAGGCCUGCUUGUAAGCCCUACUCUAUCUAGAGCAUUCUGUGGAAGGACAGAACAGCGCAUCCCAAGACCAGAAGUCAGGAGAGAGCAAGGUGUGUUCAUAACAGGUGGUCGGGUCUGAAGCUUGGGAUGUACUGACAAAACGAUGUGAGGCCAGGAAAUGGCCUGCUGGUCAGGAGGCAGGAAGGGGAUGGGAUAAAACUGAACCGCGCUAGGGAGCUUGGGCUUUUUCACGCGGACUAGAGGGAAGCAAGGAAAGAUUUCAAGACCGGCAGAACUCAUACUCCUCUCCCCUCCUCGCAUUCUACAGAAAAGAAAACUGAGGCCCAGAGCACUUACUUUCCUUACCCAAGGCCACGUAGCCCAGCUCUGGGGCUAUUUAAACCCAGACUCCAGACCUGUACCAGGACAGGGCCUCACCCCAGGGAGGGACGAGUGGAAAAGGGAGAAGGCCCAGAACUGGCUUCCAAGACUUUACACUGAAGAUUAAAGAGUUAUCUGAACAAGGGAAAUUAAUCUGUCCCGGUUCCGUUCCCUUGCACGCCCUGGGUGGACCCAGGUUGUUCUUUUGGCCUCACCCUCCCCACCCACCAGCUUCUCUCAAAGCAAGAGGCUGGGAGAUGACUGUUCCUUAGAAACCCUGGGUCUGGGCUUCCAAGGGCCCAGCAACUAAGGAAAGGCAGCCAAUCAGAUGGGCUGGAGCCAGGCCUUUGAAACCACCACCGGUGGUAAAGAAAGUCACUGGAAACCAAAGCAGCCUGGUCUGUGAGAGGCCUGUCAGGGCAGGGCUGGCAGCCCUGCAGAGACAAUCCCUAUCUCUGCUCCCAGGUUAGAGCCUGCCACUGAUAGUGUGGUUGCCCGGGCAAAGCAGCCAAGGCGGUUAGAGUCGGCCUUGUUCUAACUUGAUUGCAGAGCAGAGAGGGAGGGGGUCUCACUGCCUUCAGAGGCCCGGGGCUGGUGGGCCUGUGCUAAUUUGCACGGGUGAAUUCAAACCAUUUGGUUCAGGUGAUGAGAGGAUGCUGAAAGCAUAUUCCAGAAGGCCUACCUCACACCCGGUGCUAUUCCAGGAUGCAGGCAGGUGAUGUCCCUGAUCACAGCAGACUCAUAUCCUAGUAGGGGGACAAAGACCAUGGACAUAAUAAAUAAUAAAGUAAAUAAAUAACAAAAAUUUCAGGGAGUUCCCAUUGUGGCACACUGGAAAAGAAUCUAAGUAUCCAUUAGGAUGAGGGUUCCACCCAGAGUUGCUCUGAGCUGUGGUGUAGAUCACAAAUGCGGCUCGGAUCCCCAGUUGCUAUGGCGUAGGCUGGCAUCUGCAGCUCUGAUUCGACCCCUACCCGCUAGGGGGAAUUUCAUAUGCUCCAGGUUCGGCCCUAAGAAGCAAAUAAUAAUAAUAAUUAUAAUAAAUAAUUUCCGAAACAGUGGAGGUGAUUCUGGACCAGAGUGUUUCAAUCUUGGCACUACUGACAUUUGAGGCUGGAGAAUGUUGGCUAUGAGGGGAUGUCCUGUGCACCGGAGGAUGUUUCAUGGCACCCCUGGCUCCAACCAUUAGACACCAGCAGUGACCCCCUCUCCUUCUCCCAAAUAUCAUAACCCAAAAUGUCUCCAUAUAUGGCUAAAUAUCCUCGGGGGGGGGGUGGCAAAAAAAUCACCCCUGAUGACUACCACUGCUCUAGACUGGAGUUUUUGCUGAAAUUAUGCACAAUUCAUGUGCAUAAUCUAAAAUUUUCUAGUAUGUUAAACAAUUAAAAUAUGCAGGUGAAGUAAAUUUUAAAUUUACCUUAUUUUACCCAGGAUACCUAAACUAGUAUCAUUUCAACAUGCCACAAAGAAAAAAAGCUAUUAAAGAGAUGACAUAUUUUAUUCUGAGUCUUCAAAAUCAGGUAUAUAUUUUAUACUCAUGGCACACCUCAAUUCGGAGAGCCCAAUGCCUGAGUGAGCGAGUUCAAGUGCACUCUGUCCCAGGCUCAUCAGAAGAACAGCCUGAAACUGGGGCCUCCUUUAUCUGAAUGUGGUCCCAGACCAGCACAAGCAGCAUCAGCUGUGAUCAGGUUGGAAAUGAGGAUCCCUGAUGCUGAGUCAGAGUUUGCCUCUUAACAAGGUGCCCAGGUGAUCUGAGAGCUUAUUGAAGUGUGAGAAAAUCAUAGUGCCCGCAUGCCAGGCACCUUGGGGGAGACUGAAGCCCAUGAAAUGAAAUGGCUCAGCUGAUGUUACAUCUUCCUGAUAACUAACUCAGGAGCCCCAGUUUUCCCAUCCACAAAAUGGGGUUGAAGAGCACACUUUCUCUGGGGUUGGGCUUGUACUUAACUGAGUGUCAGCUUCACCACACCUGCCCCCUCUCCCCUCUGCCUACUGGAGCCCCUCUACUCACAAGAGACUCCCUUCUAGGCUAAAUAGGAGGCAGUUCCUGCUGCCAGGACGCUGGCCCAAGAGGGAGACCAUGAACCCACCUGCAGGGCCCACUGAGGUGGGGGAAACCACGUGGAGGCCCCUGAGGGGCUUGGGCAGGGGGUGAGGCUUCACACCAAACAGGGCACAUGGAUAUGUGCAGAACCACUUGCCUGAUCUGAUACACAUUCAGCUGUCAGGAGGGAGUGUGUGCGAUAGGGGUAGGGGUGGGGGUGGGGACUGGAGGGUGGGGGAGAACCAAGCUCUCUCAGCUCCGUCACCUAUAUGGACUUCCUGUCCCCAAGGCCAGAACAGUAUCUGACACAGUCAUUAAGGAGCUGGAAGCUCGCUGUUUUUCAAGCCCUCCACCCCCAGCACCUGUCCCACCUAGGGAAGGCUACAUUCCGGGUCUCACCCCUGUGAUAACCCCCACCCCCACAGCUCAGGAUCUGGGUAAAGCCCAGCUCCCUGCCCCUGGCCCAGCAUUGUCAACUCCUCCUGAUUUCUAGUUACAACACGUCCAAAUUAAAGGAGCUUAUCUCAAAACCCCAAGGCUGUCUUGCCUGGUGCUCACUUCCUUUCCCUUUCAUCAGGCCUCUGGGCGGGCUCCCCCCCAACCCCCUGCCUCCUGGCAGGGAGGGGUGACCGGGAGGUCAGGCAAGGGCCCUGCUGAGAGAGGGUGGCCUGCACCUGUCCCACCUCAGGCAGAGGGGGACUUUCAAGCAGAGAUCAGUGCAUCGGGAGCCUUGAGAUGGGGGUGGAAGGAAUCCCAUUCGCCUUGAUUUUUGCCUCCCUGGUCACUAAACAGAAUCUGAUCUGGGGCUGCCCUGUGCUGCCCCAGGGCUUCCCGGCUGUGGAUUCCUCUAGGGGUGACUUAUUUAGGAGGGUGAGUGCUGCAAAAAUAAAUAAAGGCCCAAUGUUUAUCCUGCCCCCCCACCACCACUGUGAUUCAGAAAUAUCACCCUAGACCAG